GAUGAACGCUGGCGGCGUGCUUAACACAUGCAAGUCGAACGGAGUUUAUAAGCGGAAGUUUUUGGAUGGAAACUUAUGAACUUAGUGGCGGACGGGUGAGUAACGCGUGGGUAACCUGCCUCAUACAGGGGGAUAACAGUUGGAAACGACUGCUAACACCGCAUAAGCGCACAGUGCUGCAUGGCACAGUGUGAAAAAAUUUAUUGGUAUGAGAUGGACCCGCGUCUGAUUAGCUAGUUGGUGGGGUAAAGGCCUACCAAGGCGACGAUCAGUAGCCGGCUUGAGAGAGUGAACGGCCACAUUGGGACUGAGACACGGCCCAAACUCCUACGGGAGGCAGCAGUGGGGAAUAUUGCACAAUGGGGGAAACCCUGAUGCAGCGACGCCGCGUGAGUGAAGAAGUAUUUCGGUAUGUAAAGCUCUAUCAGCAGGGACGAUAAUGACGGUACCUGACUAAGAAGCCCCGGCUAACUACGUGCCAGCCGCCGCGGUAA
RNAcentral lists this ribosomal RNA (494 nucleotides) under uncultured bacterium. RNAcentral describes it as "partial 16S ribosomal RNA". It matches the Rfam family "Bacterial small subunit ribosomal RNA", at positions 28 to 523 of the family's 1533-position model. The record is from RNAcentral.